AUGUGGCUCCAGUCUGUUCUGUGUUUACAUUUUGCUGCAGCAGCCUUUACGUCGGCCUGUGGACGGACUCUAGAGGGAAGAAUCUUCAUGGAGUUUCACCUUUUUAGUCGAGUGGAAGGAAAAGUUAAGCUGAAGUCGGCCUCCUCUCGAUGCCUUUCUGCUGCUCGUACGCCCGUGUGCUCCAUCGCCGGACGACCCGGUGGACCAAAGAGGUCCUGUUGCAGCGUCAGCACGAAGGAGCCUCGCUCGCUCAGCAGAAACGAGCGGCCGCGUUGGAGCGCGAGGAGCACAACCCGGCAACAGGGAGGAGCCUCUCCACCUCCCGUAAACGGGCCCGGUCCCGCCCGGCGUCUCGCUGACCCGGUCCAAAAACGAACGAUAAGGCGAGGGCACGUGUCGCCGUCGGCGACGUGGCGUCUGAUGCCAACAAACCGCAGCACCGCCAGCGUAAAAGACACCGAGCGUUGGUGUCAUUCUCAACAGGCAGCAACACACAGAUAACAAGCGCUGGUGCUGCCGCAAAGAUGACGCCUUGAGCAGACGUGCUCAGUGGAAGCCUGCUAUUAAGCUCUGAGUCACGCUCAGGAUCUUUCUUCACUUUCACAACAUCUUUCAGCGGGUCCCUACUAAUAAUUCUGCGAGCACAGCGGUUCAAUUGGGUCUCACUUUGUUUACCUCAAUGAAUAAUCGACCCAUUUAUAAAGCUGCUGGUCAUCAACCAGUAAACCUGGUGAGCUACUGGUCUGUAGUGGUGUAUGAACAGGUGCGGGGGGUGCGUUGGGGUCGAUGGGCUCGUUCAGGCUGAGGCAGAAUGAAGGACGGAGGCUGUGUUUGCUUUCCCCUCACUCAGCUCCCUGGAAGCGACGCCACGCUGCAAUUAUGGCGACGGGGAGAAUUCUUCUAGAGGAAGUCCAGUUACACACAAACACACAACGAGCUCCCCCACACUCUGCAGCUGAUUGCGACAAUAAGGACGCUAUCAGAGCAAUCAGCCAGACAGACAGCGCUAAUGCAGGCAGGUGUGCUUGAAUACUGAUACGCUGCAGACCGGGGUUCUACUCGGCUUUCCGCUGCGCGAGACACGCGUUGAUGAUCUUUUUUUAUCUGCUU
This 1110-nucleotide long non-coding RNA is filed under the name Betta splendens (Siamese fighting fish). Its description in RNAcentral is "lncRNA (ENSBSLG00000008336.1)". The record is from RNAcentral. Lineage: Eukaryota; Metazoa; Chordata; Actinopteri; Anabantiformes; Osphronemidae.